GACUUCUGGUUUAAUGCACCUGGCCCGCGGCCAAUAGGCCUGUGAGUGCCGGCGCGCGUUUACCAUCCUUACUCGGGAUCUGGAUCAUUUACUUUGAAAAAAUUAGAGUGUUUAAAGCAGGCUAUUGCUAUGAAUACAUUAGCAUGGAAUAAUAAUCUAGGACUUCGGUUCUAUUUUGUUGGUUUCUAUAACUGAAGUAAUGAUUGAUAGGGAUAGUUGGGGGUGCUAGUAUUGGCCGGUCAGAGGUGAAAUUCUUGGAUUCGGUCAAGACUAACUUAUGCGAAAGCAUU
Molecule: ribosomal RNA, 290 nt
Filed under: uncultured Sandona
Lineage: Eukaryota; Cercozoa; Glissomonadida
Description: partial 18S ribosomal RNA
Rfam family: Eukaryotic small subunit ribosomal RNA (bases 68-290)
Source: RNAcentral